CACAGCUCAGGUCUUCUGUUGAAAAAUUCGGAUGGUCAAAGUUUAAACAGUCUUCUGUGAGCUGCAUUCUUCAUCUGUAUUGGAAGUAGAAACUGAGAAUUCUCACUCUCUCCUGUACACUGGAAAUAUAAGACUUUCCACUCUUCAAAGCGCAGUACUUAUUGGGUUGCCUGAUUCUGUGUGCCCAUAUAUAUUGAUCUUAAAAUGUGUAUGUCUUACAAUUUUUGUGAACAUGAUUAGAUAUGAAUUUAUUUAAGCUACGUUCUCAUCUGAUGUUGAUCACAAAAGAAGUCAGCAGUUUUCAGCUCAGAGCUCUGAGUUCUUCUGAACAAAAAGAAGGACAGGAACAAUGUCAGAAAUGCAGAAAGUAUUAAAGAUAAAUGUCAGUGUAAUAGUCCUGAAUAUCUGCUGGCAGGCAACAGUGACUUUAAUGGAACAUUGAUAUAAAGGAAGGUUAUGAAGUUUCUUGCCUGAUUUUUCUUUUCUCCUAGACAGAAGCAGCAGAUGAAAAAUGAAGUUUCUCAGCUGUAUUAACCAUUGGUCUUUGUGCAUAGCGGAGAUGUAUUUUACCAGGCUGUUUCAGUUGUAGUCCUAAAUCAACUUUGUUCUGUUGAUAAAAGCAAACCUAGAAUCAGGAUUUCAUUCUGUGACAGUUAGAAGGAAAUGAAGAAAUGAAGAAAAGAGGAGGAGAAUAUUCCAAAACAUCUAUAUCUAGCAUAGAGCCGAUAAAAAGGACCAUCAGCCAUGUGCACUCUGAGCUUACCUCCCUGCUGCACUGCAGCCGCUGCUGGGGACUGGGUACAGGCCCCCAGGGCUGGAGGGGCCCAUCUCAGGGGCCUGUGUGA
Molecule: long non-coding RNA, 845 nt
Filed under: Anser brachyrhynchus (Pink-footed goose)
Lineage: Eukaryota; Metazoa; Chordata; Aves; Anseriformes; Anatidae
Description: lncRNA (ENSABRG00000000292.1)
Source: RNAcentral